ACGAACGCUGGCGGCGUGCCUAAUACAUGCAAGUAGAACGCUGAAGGAGGAGCUUGCUCUUCUGGAUGAGUUGCGAACGGGUGAGUAACGCGUAGGUAACCUGCCUGGUAGCGGGGGAUAACUAUUGGAAACGAUAGCUAAUACCGCAUAACAGUAGAUGUUGCAUGACAUUUACUUAAAAGGUGCGAUUGCAUCACUACCAGAUGGACCUGCGUUGUAUUAGCUAGUUGGCGGGGUAACGGCUCACCAAGGCGACGAUACAUAGCCGACCUGAGAGGGUGAUCGGCCACACUGGGACUGAGACACGGCCCAGACUCCUACGGGAGGCAGCAGUAGGGAAUCUUCGGCAAUGGACGGAAGUCUGACCGAGCAACGCCGCGUGAGUGAAGAAGGUUUUCGGAUCGUAAAGCUCUGUUGUAAGAGAAGAACGAGUGUGAGAGUGGAAAGUUCACACUGUGACGGUAUCUUACCAGAAAGGGACGGCUAACUACGUG
This 494-nucleotide ribosomal RNA is filed under the name uncultured bacterium. RNAcentral describes it as "partial 16S ribosomal RNA". It matches the Rfam family "Bacterial small subunit ribosomal RNA", at positions 29 to 507 of the family's 1533-position model. The record is from RNAcentral.